GUUGUAUGGUUAAGUGACUAAGCGUACACGGUGGAUGCCUGGGCAGUCAGAGGCGAUGAAGGACGUACUAACUUGCGAUAAGCGCAGAUAAGGCAGUAAGAGCCGUUUGAGUCUGCGAUUUCCGAAUGGGGAAACCCAACUGCAUAAGCAGUUACUGUUAACUGAAUACAUAGGUUAACAGAGCAAACCGGGGGAACUGAAACAUCUAAGUACCCCGAGGAGAAGAAAUCAACCGAGAUUCCGGUAGUAGCGGCGAGCGAACCUGGAUUAGCCCUUAAGCACUCGGUGAAGUAGGUGAACAAGCUGGAAAGCUUGGCGAUACAGGGUGAUAGCCCCGUAACCGACGCUUCAUCGAGCGUGAAAUCGAGUAGGGCGGGACACGUGAUAUCCUGUCUGAAUAUGGGGGGACCAUCCUCCAAGGCUAAAUACUCCUGACUGACCGAUAGUGAACCAGUACCGUGAGGGAAAGGCGAAAAGAACCCCUGUGAGGGGAGUGAAAUAGAACCUGAAACCGUGUACGUACAAGCAGUAGGAGCACCUUCGUGGUGUGACUGCGUACCUUUUGUAUAAUGGGUCAGCGACUUAUAUUCAGUGGCAAGGUUAACCGUAUAGGGGAGCCGUAGCGAAAGCGAGUCUUAACUGGGCGCUCAGUCUCUGGAUAUAGACCCGAAACCGGGUGAUCUAGCCAUGGGCAGGUUGAAGGUUGAGUAACAUCAACUGGAGGACCGAACCGACUAAUGUUGAAAAAUUAGCGGAUGACUUGUGGCUAGGGGUGAAAGGCCAAUCAAACUCGGAGAUAGCUGGUUCUCCCCGAAAGCUAUUUAGGUAGCGCCUCGGACGAAUACUACUGGGGGUAGAGCACUGUUAAGGCUAGGGGGUCAUCCCGACUUACCAACCCUUUGCAAACUCCGAAUACCAGUAAGUACUAUCCGGGAGACACACGGCGGGUGCUAACGUCCGUCGUGGAGAGGGAAACAACCCAGACCGCCAGCUAAGGUCCCAAAGUAUUGCUAAGUGGGAAACGAUGUGGGAAGGCUCAGACAGCUAGGAUGUUGGCUUAGAAGCAGCCAUCAUUUAAAGAAAGCGUAAUAGCUCACUAGUCGAGUCGGCCUGCGCGGAAGAUGUAACGGGGCUAAGCAAUACACCGAAGCUGCGGCAAUAUCUUUUAGAUAUUGGGUAGGGGAGCGUUCUGUAAGCCGUUGAAGGUGAAUCGUAAGGUUUGCUGGAGGUAUCAGAAGUGCGAAUGCUGACAUGAGUAACGACAAAGGGGGUGAAAAACCUCCUCGCCGGAAGACCAAGGGUUCCUGUCCAACGUUAAUCGGGGCAGGGUGAGUCGACCCCUAAGGUGAGGCCGAAAGGCGUAAUCGAUGGGAAACGGGUUAAUAUUCCCGUACUUCUGACUAUUGCGAUGGGGGGACGGAGAAGGCUAGGUGGGCCAGGCGACGGUUGUCCUGGUUCAAGUGCGUAGGCUUGAGAGUUAGGUAAAUCCGGCUCUCUCUAAGGCUGAGACACGACGUCGAGCUGCUACGGCAGUGAAGUCAUUGAUGCCAUGCUUCCAGGAAAAGCCUCUAAGCUUCAGAUAGUCAGGAAUCGUACCCCAAACCGACACAGGUGGUCGGGUAGAGAAUACCAAGGCGCUUGAGAGAACUCGGGUGAAGGAACUAGGCAAAAUGGUACCGUAACUUCGGGAGAAGGUACGCUCUUGAUGGUGAAGUCCCUCGCGGAUGGAGCUGACGAGAGUCGCAGAUACCAGGUGGCUGCAACUGUUUAUUAAAAACACAGCACUGUGCAAAAUCGCAAGAUGACGUAUACGGUGUGACGCCUGCCCGGUGCCGGAAGGUUAAUUGAUGGGGUUAGCGUAAGCGAAGCUCUUGAUCGAAGCCCCGGUAAACGGCGGCCGUAACUAUAACGGUCCUAAGGUAGCGAAAUUCCUUGUCGGGUAAGUUCCGACCUGCACGAAUGGCGUAAUGAUGGCCACGCUGUCUCCACCCGAGACUCAGUGAAAUUGAAAUCGCUGUGAAGAUGCAGUGUACCCGCGGCUAGACGGAAAGACCCCGUGAACCUUUACUACAGCUUGGCACUGAACAUUGAACCUACAUGUGUAGGAUAGGUGGGAGGCUAUGAAGACGUGACGCCAGUUGCGUUGGAGCCGUCCUUGAAAUACCACCCUUGUAUGUUUGAUGUUCUAACUUAGCCCCAUUAUCUGGGGUGAGGACAGUGCCUGGUGGGUAGUUUGACUGGGGCGGUCUCCUCCCAAAGAGUAACGGAGGAGCACGAAGGUGGGCUAAUCACGGUUGGACAUCGUGAGGUUAGUGCAAUGGCAUAAGCCCGCUUAACUGCGAGAAUGACGGUUCGAGCAGGUGCGAAAGCAGGUCAUAGUGAUCCGGUGGUUCUGUAUGGAAGGGCCAUCGCUCAACGGAUAAAAGGUACUCCGGGGAUAACAGGCUGAUACCGCCCAAGAGUUCAUAUCGACGGCGGUGUUUGGCACCUCGAUGUCGGCUCAUCACAUCCUGGGGCUGAAGUCGGUCCCAAGGGUAUGGCUGUUCGCCAUUUAAAGUGGUACGCGAGCUGGGUUUAGAACGUCGUGAGACAGUUCGGUCCCUAUCUGCCGUGGGCGUUGGAAGAUUGAAGGGGGCUGCUCCUAGUACGAGAGGACCGGAGUGGACGAACCUCUGGUGUUCGGGUUGUGUCGCCAGACGCAUUGCCCGGUAGCUAAGUUCGGAAUUGAUAAGCGCUGAAAGCAUCUAAGCGCGAAGCGAGCCCUGAGAUGAGUCUUCCCUGA
Molecule: ribosomal RNA, 2782 nt
Filed under: Vibrio cholerae
Lineage: Bacteria; Pseudomonadati; Pseudomonadota; Gammaproteobacteria; Vibrionales; Vibrionaceae
Description: partial 23S ribosomal RNA
Rfam family: Bacterial large subunit ribosomal RNA
Source: RNAcentral